This 335-nucleotide ribosomal RNA is filed under the name uncultured bacterium. RNAcentral describes it as "bacterial SSU rRNA". It matches the Rfam family "Bacterial small subunit ribosomal RNA", at positions 27 to 342 of the family's 1533-position model. The record is from RNAcentral.
GAUGAAACGCUGGCGGCAUGCCUAAUACAUGCAAGUCGAACGAAGUCUUUAGGAAGCUUGCUUCCAAAAGAGACUUAGUGGCGAACGGGUGAGUAAACACGUAGGUAAACCUGCCCAUGUGCCCGGGAUAACUGCUGGAAACGGUAGCUAAAAACCGGAUAGGUAUGAGGGAGGCAUCUUCCUCAUAUUAAAAGCACCUUCGGUGUGAACAAUGGAUGGACCUGCGGCGCAUUAGCUGGUUGGUGAGGUAAACGGCCCACCCAAGGCGAUGAUGCGUAGCCGACCUGAGAGGGUGAACGGCCACAUUGGGACUGAGACACGGCCCAAACUCCUAC